Molecule: long non-coding RNA, 645 nt
Filed under: Pan troglodytes (chimpanzee)
Lineage: Eukaryota; Metazoa; Chordata; Mammalia; Primates; Hominidae
Description: lincRNA
Source: RNAcentral
CCCAAGUAGCUGGGGCUACAGGCACCUGCCACCACACCCGGCUAAUUUUUUUGUAUUUUUAGUAGAGACGGGGUUUCACCGUGUUAGCCAGGAUCGUCUUGAUCUCCUGACCUUGUGAUCCACCCACCUCGGCCUCCCAAAUUGCUGGGAUUACAGGUGUGAGCCACCGCACCUGGUCCAAGAACCCAAGUUUUAGAUCUAGAGUGAUGUCAGCAUGACAUUGAUUUCCUGAGGCCCAGGUGUGAAGGAGCUGAGGACAGCAGAGGGGUGAAGGAACUCAGCUACAGACAGCAGCAGCUGAUGCACAGGCCUCCCAGCGCCUGAAGUCACCUGGAAUUGGGAAGUGCUCAGAAGCUUACAAAGCUGCCUCGAGCAGAAGAAUCCCAGACUUCUUAGAGAACCCAGUGACUUUUUGCACCUUAAAUCUGUGAAAUCCUCAUGCUUUCUUCCAUAGUUCAAACAAACAUGAGGCAAAGCUAGACACAUUCCUGAAGGAACCCAAGAAAUUCCUCUCUUUCUGUCUCUGGAAUGAAAUGAAUUCUCUAGACCACCAGUUCUAACCUUCAAAAACCAAACCUGUUUGUGAGAUCUCCUUCAAAUACUACUGUAGACCCCAGUGUUUAUUCAUUAAAUUUUUUAAAUAUU